AUCUGUGAGCAUAUCGCCUUGAAUGUCCCAUCUUGUCUGCUCUCAGAAGCUAAGUGAGGUCAGGCCUGGUUAGAACUUGGAUGGGAGAAACUUGUGGUUAUUUGGUUUGUGAUU
Molecule: ribosomal RNA, 114 nt
Filed under: Jaculus jaculus (lesser Egyptian jerboa)
Lineage: Eukaryota; Metazoa; Chordata; Mammalia; Rodentia; Dipodidae
Source: RNAcentral